CCUGCUCCUCCCCCUCCCCUCCCUUACCUCCCUCCCUCCCCCGCGUCUCCUUCGGUUCGCGGGGGUAUUAAAUGCAGUGCAAAGGACAGUCGGGACACAAACGCUUGGGACACCGAGACCUCUGAGAGCUGCGCAAGAUGAAUAUCCAACGAGCAACAAUAAUACUUGCAAUAAUCACCCUAUUAAUCGGCCUUGCAAUGGCGGGUCCGUUUGGAUGGUAUCGAAAACCGUUCGGAUUCGUCAGCAGAUUCAGCCGCAGGAGAUCCUUGGGUAUCUGGAGUCCUCACAUAGACGAUCGCUACUGGCACGGAUUUGACAUUGAUGGCUAUACAAGGAAUGGAUAGGAGGGUGUGGUGUGUGUGUGUGUUUCGACCACGCUUCGCUGGGAUGUUUCGUUUCGUUAUUUCGUUUGGAUGUUUUUUCUUACUGAUAUAUUAUCUGGAUGUAAAUUCGAUACUCUGUGCAAAACUAAGGUAGGGUUUCCUGCCAAUCUAGUGAUGUUUUUUUCUAUUAUAUAUAUUAUGCAGAUUGAAUCUGCUGUUGUGCUAGCUUUAAUCUUCAGUUUAAAAACUUGUAUUUCAUCAUUUAUCUGUGAAAAUGCAGGUUCUUAGUUUUAGACAAUUAUGAAAUUGCGAUUUCAUGAUAUUCUGUUAUAUCUAUUUUUGUACUGUAUGAAUGUAUUCCAUAGCAUUUAUUUAUGUUGGUGUUUAUUUCUUUAGCAAUAUGUGUUAAUUCAUCCUUUGCAAUAGGCCAUUGAAGUCACCUAUGUGCCACAUUAUUGAAAUAAAUUAAUAAUUUGC
Molecule: long non-coding RNA, 800 nt
Filed under: Penaeus japonicus
Lineage: Eukaryota; Metazoa; Arthropoda; Malacostraca; Decapoda; Penaeidae
Description: uncharacterized LOC122267789
Source: RNAcentral